This 445-nucleotide ribosomal RNA is filed under the name uncultured bacterium. Its description in RNAcentral is "partial 16S ribosomal RNA". It matches the Rfam family "Bacterial small subunit ribosomal RNA", at positions 354 to 796 of the family's 1533-position model. The record is from RNAcentral.
GUGAGGAAUAUUGGUCAAUGGGCGGGAGCCUGAACCAGCCAAGUCGCGUGAAGGAAGAAGGAUCUAUGGUUCGUAAACUUCUUUUGCAGGGGAAUAAAGUGCAGGACGUGUCCUGUUUUGUAUGUACCCUGAGAAUAAGGAUCGGCUAACUCCGUGCCAGCAGCCGCGGUAAUACGGAGGAUCCGAGCGUUAUCCGGAUUUAUUGGGUUUAAAGGGUGCGUAGGUGGUUUGAUAAGUCAGCGGUGAAAGUUUGCAGCUUAACUGUAAAAAUGCCGUUGAAACUGUCGGACUUGAGUGUAAAUGAGGUAGGCGGAAUGCGUGGUGUAGCGGUGAAAUGCAUAGAUAUCACGCAGAACUCCGAUUGCGAAGGCAGCUUACUAAGCUACAACUGACACUGAAGCACGAAAGCGUGGGGAUCAAACAGGAUUAGAUACCACGGUAGACC